This is a long non-coding RNA of Gymnodraco acuticeps, 648 nucleotides long. RefSeq lists it as uncharacterized. The record is from RefSeq and is a predicted model, not a curated record. The transcript has 2 exons. Lineage: Eukaryota; Metazoa; Chordata; Actinopteri; Perciformes; Bathydraconidae.
AUCCCAAACCACUCCCUCGACCCUCCCCUCCGUGACGGAGUGAACUCCGUCUGUAGGCACACUCACAGCUGAAUGAAGUUCCCUCCAUUAUGGGUUAAGGGUAAAAAUACAGCGGCAAACUUUGGGACGGCCUCCCCUCUCUCCGCAGGAAACGGAAACGGACGUCAUGGUGUCCAACUCACAUCUCCAUCUGUCGGCUGCAUUGACCUGCGUUGCUAUCCGUCGCCUGUUAGCGGGUGCAAUGGCAAGAUCCAACAGAAGGCGCAGAAGGUUGAGGCGCAUUUUAGCGAUGUGCCAGUGGCAGACAUGAACGAUGUCCUUGAGGAUGCUGAAGCCUUCCCCCCUGAAGAUGGGGACCAGAGUCCUCCCCCUGCCGCAGCAUGUGGACAGGAAAGUCCUGGACACCACCUAAGGAACAGGAUUGCUGCACAACUCUCUGCUCCUGUCCAAAUGGCACCACACCAGAGAGCACGAUUACAUCGAAUGAACUUUGUUUUUUUUUUGGAAAAACGUGGUUGUCUGUUAACUUGUGUUUUUGAAAUGAUGUGCACACAUACCUGAUUAAUUUUGUUUGUUUUAGUGAGCUCCACUUCUCACUUUAGAGAAAAGAGGUGAAAUAAAAUAAACCUGUGCACCGUUGAUUUCAAA